GCCAAUGGCACUGCCCGGUAGCUAAAUGCGGAAGAGAUAAGUGCUGAAAGCAUCUAAGCACGAAACUUGCCCCGAGAUGAGUUCUCCCUGAGACUAUAAGUCUCCUGAAGGAACGUUAAAGACGAUGACGUUGAUAGGCCGGGUGUGUAAGCGCAGCGAUGCGUUGAGCUAACCGGUACUAAUGAACCGUGAGGCUUAACCUUACAACGCCGA
RNAcentral lists this ribosomal RNA (213 nucleotides) under Klebsiella pneumoniae. RNAcentral describes it as "partial 23S ribosomal RNA". It matches the Rfam family "Bacterial large subunit ribosomal RNA", at positions 2728 to 2925 of the family's 2925-position model. Lineage: Bacteria; Pseudomonadati; Pseudomonadota; Gammaproteobacteria; Enterobacterales; Enterobacteriaceae. The record is from RNAcentral.